UACGUAGGGUGCGAGCGUUGUCCGGAAUUAUUGGGCGUAAAGGGCUCGUAGGCGGUUUGUCGCGUCGGGAGUGAAAACCUCGGGCUUAACUCGGGGCUUGCUUUCGAUACGGGCAGACUGGAGGUAUGCAGGGGAGAACGGAAUUCCUGGUGUAGCGGUGAAAUGCGUAGAUAUCAGGAAGAACACCGGUGGCGAAGGCGGCCCUCUGGACAGAUACUGACGCUGAGACGCGAAAGCGUGGGGAGCAAACAGG
RNAcentral lists this ribosomal RNA (253 nucleotides) under uncultured bacterium. Its description in RNAcentral is "partial 16S ribosomal RNA". It matches the Rfam family "Bacterial small subunit ribosomal RNA", at positions 524 to 776 of the family's 1533-position model. The record is from RNAcentral.